RNAcentral lists this unclassified non-coding RNA (200 nucleotides) under soil metagenome. RNAcentral's name for it is "partial contains internal transcribed spacer 2 and large subunit ribosomal RNA". The record is from RNAcentral.
UGGCCUUAAAAGCAUUAGCUGAUCCUUGUGUGGCACUGGUUCUACUCAGCGUGAUAACAGUCUGAUCGUUGAGGACAUCUUUUGGGAUGGCCGGUCUUCAUUUGGGUUGCUUCUAAACCUGGGUUUUGCAGAUUGUUUCAAUCUGUAUUCCACUUUUCAGCUUUGACCUCGAAUCAGGUGGGACUACCCGCUGAACUUAA